GUGGGGAAUCUUAGACAAUGGGGGCAACCCUGAUCUAGCCAUGCCGCGUGAGUGAUGAAGGCCUUAGGGUUGUAAAGCUCUUUCAGUGGGGAAGAUAAUGACGGUACCCACAGAAGAAGCCCCGGCUAACUCCGUGCCAGCAGCCGCGGUAAUACGGAGGGGGCUAGCGUUGUUCGGAAUUACUGGGCGUAACGCUCACGUAGGCGGAUCGGCAAGGUGGGGGUGAAAUCCCAGGGAGCAACCCUGGAACUGCCUUCAAAACUAUCGGUCUGGGGUCCGAGAGAGGUGAGUGGAAUUCCGAGUGUAGAGGUGAAAUUCGUAGAUAUUCGGAGGAACACCAGUGGCGAAGGCGGCUCACUGGCUCGGUACUGACGCUGAGGUGCGAAAGCGUGGGGAGCAAACAGGAUUAGAAACCCCAGUAGUCC
RNAcentral lists this ribosomal RNA (425 nucleotides) under uncultured bacterium. RNAcentral describes it as "partial 16S ribosomal RNA". It matches the Rfam family "Bacterial small subunit ribosomal RNA", at positions 354 to 796 of the family's 1533-position model. The record is from RNAcentral.